UACGUAGGGGGCAAGCGUUGUCCGGAUUUAUUGGGCGUAAAGAGCUCGUAGGCGGUUUGGUAAGUCUGGUGUGAAAUCUCCACGCUCAACGUGGAGGGGCCACCCGAUACUGCCAUGACUGGAGUCCGGUAGAGGAGUGUGGAAUUCCCGGUGUAGCGGUGAAAUGCGCAGAUAUCGGGAGGAAUACCGAUGGCGAAGGCAGGUCUCUGGGCUAUAACUGACGCUCAUGCACGAAAGCGUGGGGAGCAAACAGG
RNAcentral lists this ribosomal RNA (254 nucleotides) under uncultured bacterium. RNAcentral's name for it is "partial 16S ribosomal RNA". It matches the Rfam family "Bacterial small subunit ribosomal RNA", at positions 524 to 776 of the family's 1533-position model. The record is from RNAcentral.